GCGAAAGCCUGAUGCAGCCAUGCCGCGUGUGUGAAGAAGGCCCUAGGGUUGUAAAGCACUUUCAGUGGGGAGGAAAGGUUGAAGGUUAAUACCCUUUGGCUGUGACGUUACCCACAGAAGAAGCACCGGCUAACUCCGUGCCAGCAGCCGCGGUAAUACGGAGGGUGCGAGCGUUAAUCGGAAUUACUGGGCGUAAAGCGUGCGUAGGCGGCUUUUUAAGUUGGAUGUGAAAGCCCCGGGCUUAACCUGGGAACUGCAUCCAAAACUGGAAGGCUUGAGUGCGAGAGAGGAGUGUGGAAUUUCCUGUGUAGCGGUGAAAUGCGUAGAUAUAGGAAGGAACACCAGUGGCGAAGGCGACACUCUGGCUUGACACUGACGCUGAGGUACGAAAGCGUGGGGAGCAAACAGGAUUAGAUACCCUGGUAGUCCACGCCGUAAACGAUGUCUACUAGUUGUCGGUGGUCUUGUACUGCUGGUA
Molecule: ribosomal RNA, 478 nt
Filed under: uncultured bacterium
Lineage: Bacteria
Description: bacterial SSU rRNA
Rfam family: Bacterial small subunit ribosomal RNA
Source: RNAcentral